UGUGGGCGGUUUCGAAGGAACUCAGGGACGCCGUGGUUCCCUUGCAGACCUGAAUGCCGGCCGUGGCGACCACAUCGUUGAGCUGGUGUACCUACAGCGUAGUUAGUAAUAGUGACUGUGUUAGUAGACUGUGUGAACCGGUGCCCCAAGUGUCGGCUCAGAAACUCUCCACAUCGCGGAAGGCAAUUUUGAAUAGGACUCUACGGAAAACAAGGGGUACCAAUGAUGGGUACCAAGUACCAAUGAUGGUGUUCCAGGUUCUCUGGAAGUCACUGAGAGCUUUACCGUGAGAGAUGGAAACAACAAUGGGUGCAUUCCCAGACGAUCCGUCACUCCUACUGCAAGGCGUAUGAAGAAGUAAGAAAAAAAAAAGGUCAUAGGAAAUGGCACUAAAGUGACAUAUCUUAUGGA
This is a long non-coding RNA of Ornithodoros turicata, 411 nucleotides long. RefSeq lists it as uncharacterized. Lineage: Eukaryota; Metazoa; Arthropoda; Arachnida; Ixodida; Argasidae. The record is from RefSeq and is a predicted model, not a curated record. The transcript has 4 exons.